GACGAACUUUGGCGGCGUGCUUAACACAUGCAAGUCGAACGGAAAGGCCCUGCUUUUGUGGGGUGCUCGAGUGGCGAACGGGUGAGUAACACGUGAGUAACCUGCCCUUGACUUUGGGAUAACUUCAGGAAACUGGGGCUAAUACCGGAUAGGAGCUCCUGCUGCAUGGUGGGGGUUGGAAAGUUUCGGCGGUUGGGGAUGGACUCGCGGCUUAUCAGCUUGUUGGUGGGGUAGUGGCUUACCAAGGCUUUGACGGGUAGCCGGCCUGAGAGGGUGACCGGCCACAUUGGGACUGAGAUACGGCCCAGACUCCUACGGGAGGCAGCAGUGGGGAAUAUUGCACAAUGGGCGGAAGCCUGAUGCAGCAACGCCGCGUGCGGGAUGACGGCCUUCGGGUUGUAAACCGCUUUCGCCUGUGACGAAGCGUGAGUGACGGUAAUGGGUAAAGAAGCACCGGCUAACUACGUGCCAGCAGCCGCGGUGAUACGUAGGGUGCGAGCGUUGUCCGGAUUUAUUGGGCGUAAAGGGCUCGUAGGUGGUUGAUCGCGUCGGAAGUGUAAUCUUGGGGCUUAACCCUGAGCGUGCUUUCGAUACGGGUUGACUUGAGGAAAGGUAGGGGAGAAUGGAAUUCCUGGUGGAGCGGUGGAAUGCGCAGAUAUCAGGAGGAACACCAGUGGCGAAGGCGGUUCUCUGGGCCUUUCCUGACGCUGAGGAGCGAAAGCGUGGGGAGCGAACAGGCUUAGAUACCCUGGUAGUCCACGCUGUAAACGGUGGGUACUAGGUGUGGGGUCCAUUCCACGGGUUCCGUGCCGUAGCUAACGCUUUAAGUACCCCGCCUGGGGAGUACGGCCGCAAGGCUAAAACUCAAAGGAAUUGACGGGGCCCCGCACAAGCGGCGGAGCAUGCGGAUUAAUUCGAUGCAACGCGUAGAACCUUACCUGGGUUUGACAUGGAUCGGGAGUGCUCAGAGAUGGGUGUGCCUCUUUUGGGGUCGGUUCACAGGUGGUGCAUGGCUGUCGUCAGCUCGUGUCGUGAGAUGUUGGGUUAAGUCCCGCAACGAGCGCAACCCUUGUUCACUGUUGCCAGCACGUUAUGGUGGGGACUCAGUGGAGACCGCCGGGGUCAACUCGGAGGAAGGUGGGGAUGACGUCAAGUCAUCAUGCCCCUUAUGUCCAGGGCUUCACGCAUGCUACAAUGGCUGGUACAGAGAGUGGCGAGCCUGUGAGGGUGAGCGAAUCUCGGAAAGCCGGUCUCAGUUCGGAUUGGGGUCUGCAACUCGACCUCAUGAAGUCGGAGUCGCUAGUAAUCGCAGAUCAGCAACGCUGCGGUGAAUACGUUCCCGGGGCU
This 1347-nucleotide ribosomal RNA is filed under the name uncultured bacterium. Its description in RNAcentral is "partial 16S ribosomal RNA". It matches the Rfam family "Bacterial small subunit ribosomal RNA", at positions 28 to 1381 of the family's 1533-position model. The record is from RNAcentral.